This 69-nucleotide transfer RNA is filed under the name Thyonella gemmata. RNAcentral describes it as "tRNA-Met". The record is from RNAcentral. Lineage: Eukaryota; Metazoa; Echinodermata; Holothuroidea; Dendrochirotida; Cucumariidae.
CGUAAAGUAAGCUAACAAAGCUUUUGGGCUCAUAUUCCAAGAAUGGGAGAUAAAAACUCCCCUUUACUA